Molecule: long non-coding RNA, 2336 nt
Filed under: Homo sapiens (human)
Lineage: Eukaryota; Metazoa; Chordata; Mammalia; Primates; Hominidae
Description: non-protein coding lnc-ZSCAN30-5:3
Source: RNAcentral
CACAGGAGUCAGCCUGCUCUGAUUUGCUAGGACAGGGGUGCUCGAGUCUGGUCUCAGUGCUGACGUGGAGCUAAGAGAGAGAAAAGGUGGCUGGUUAGUCAGAAAUUGGUCAUUGGCGGCAGUUUCCAGAGUCCUUGCAAUGGCUUUAUAUGACGAUAUCAACAACCAUGUGAUGGAGUUGGUUGGCAAUGAAAUAGCUAUGACAACGGGGAAGGUUAUCAGCAGAACAGUUCAAAUCUUAGACGAACAUUUUGAUGUAGAAACACAAAGAAACAACAUAUGCCAGCUCGGUCCAGUCAGUGGUGGAGUGCCACGUGCAGGAUUUAAGUUCUGAGUUCAAGAACUACCUGGCUAUGAUUUUGAGCUGACAGCAUUAUAGGUAGCUGGGAUGUAGUGGUUUUCAAUACUGAGUAUGAGGCACCAGUGGCCACCUGCUCCAUCUAGAGAGGUAUGGGUUCACAGAGGAUGGGCAGUGGAAAAGAGAUGAACAUUAAGACACCCCAACAAAACCCGCAAUAAAAAUCAAUCUGUGCAAAGAAAUCUGAGAACUGUGCAGUUGUGCCACUUUGGUGUCAGCCUGUGCUCAGAGACAUUUGUCAGGUGAGUUCUCUGGAGAGAUAUAUGAUUAAGUAUGUCAAGGGAUAGGAUGGGCUUCUCACUAAUGCCAAUUGAGCACUUUAUCCCCAAGGCAAGUGAUUUGGUUUCAAAGGGCAGCCAAGGAGAUGAUGUCUGACCAAACGCAGACAUGUGAACAUCGUACAGCCGCCCUCUGCAGAGGGGGCAUGAAGAUGUCAGGACUUGGCUGGGCACCUACCAACUACGAACUUGGUGUGUGGGUUCAGAGAAGGUUUUUGCCAGCCCCAGAAGCAAAAGUGAAUCACAGAACCUUUCUUGCUUAUUCUGAAUAAGGCCUUUUCAGAGACUUUAUUAUACGACUUCAUUCUAAAGCAGUAGUUCUCAACCUUUAGCGAGCAUCAGAAUCACCUAGAGGGUUGACUAAAACAGACUUCUGGACCCAACCCCCAGAGCUUCUGAUUCAGUAGGCCUGAGGUGGGGCUUACAAAUUAGUAUUUCGAAGACCUUCCUAAGUGUUGCAGAUGCUGCUUGUCCGGGGAACACACUUUGAGAACUAUUGUUCUAAAAUGUUCUCUCCUUUCUUUUAAAGGAGAGACAGGAAUUCCAGAGAAACUGCUAAUUUAAGCAUAAUGUAUUGAAUAGGUCGCAGGCUUUUUUAAAAAAAUCAAAUCUUGAAGCAAGUAGAAGAUUACUUUUUCUUUUUCCCCAGAAUUCCCAAAGGAGGUCUUUAGGGCCCUCUAAAGAGGGUCCUUGGAAAAGACUAUCCCAGUCUUUUAUCCUCUUGUCUUUGAUAGCUCUUUUGCACUUCAGCUUUUCACUGAGUGCAAAAAUCCCAACUCAACUUAGAAGAGCCUGUCUCCUUUCACAUGACCACAGAAGGCUACAUGCAGAACACCAGGUGGCCAGCUAAGGCAAUCAACAUUCAGAAAAAAAGGAGAGCAAACGUUUGCAAGCGCACUUUAAGCCUGUACAUUUAAAGCUGAAGGCCUCCAAACAACUUGAUGGGGGAACUUGUGAACGAGCGGUGCUGUUAAAGACAUGCUUCCUAAAGCCAAAACGAGAGGAACAAGACCAUGGAAGAGCAGAGAUAACUUUAGUCCGUUUGGGGAUCUUAUGGCACCUGUGGUUUAUAAACAGCUUUAGUAACGAGUAUUUCAAAACAUAGUUCACAGUUUUUAAGAAGAUCUGUGCUGAUUUUAAAAACUAGAUUCUAUAUAAUUUGAAUGCUGCCUUUUUUGAAUAUGAUAUCUAUUUGGAAAAAAAAAUAUUUACACUAAAUUCUAUGGCUGAUUAGAGUAUCUUGAAAGAAAACAACCUCGAGUUGGAAAGAGGCCCCAAAGAAUGGAUUAUUCCUGGUGUGUUUGGUUCAAGUCACUGCUCACAGAGACUUGGAGUCAACUACAGACCGUGCAGGCCAAGGACCCUUCUUGGCUUCCGGGCUCUGAGUUUGUACACUCAGGAACCAAAUUCUUCAGGGUUAUUGAAUGAUUGCAAGUGGUUGUUUUUUUCCAAUUGCUGUGAAAAAAAUGUACAGUGUAUAAUAAACUGUUUUGCUAAAAUCUCAAAGAAUUCAGAAAUCAAACUUCUAGCUAUAAACAGUAUUAAUAUUGUCAUUGUAAACUGAACAGGUUCAAUAUCAUGUGCAAAGGUUUAAAAUGCUUGUUAAUACUGCCAUUGUGUAUAACAGCAGCAUGGGUUUUCAGCCUGUGUUUGUUUGCUUUUUAACCAGGGAUGAACCACGUUACAGAGGAUGUAGCUGA